RNAcentral lists this ribosomal RNA (494 nucleotides) under uncultured bacterium. RNAcentral describes it as "bacterial SSU rRNA". It matches the Rfam family "Bacterial small subunit ribosomal RNA", at positions 24 to 518 of the family's 1533-position model. The record is from RNAcentral.
UUAGGACGAACGCUGGCGGCGUGCCUAACACAUGCAAGUCGAGCGGGGAUGUCUGGGGAGGCUCGCUUUCCGGGACAUUCUAGCGGCGGACGGGUGAGUAACGCGUGAGCAACCUGCUUUAACAGGGGGAUAACGCAUCGAAAGAUGUGCUAAUACCGCAUAAGACCACGGUUUCACAUGGGACAGGGGUCAAAGGAGCAAAUCCGGUUAAAGAUGGGCUCGCGUCCGAUUAGCUAGUUGGUGAGAUAACAGCCCACCAAGGCGACGAUCGGUAGCCGACCUGAGAGGGUGAUCGGCCACAUUGGAACUGAGAUACGGUCCAGACUCCUACGGGAGGCAGCAGUGGGGAAUAUUGGGCAAUGGGCGAAAAAGCCUGACCCAGCAACGCCGCGUGAGGGAAGAAGGGUUUCGGCUCGUAAACCUCUGUCCUGUGGGACGAAGGAAGUGACGGUACCACAGGAGGAAGCCCCGGCUAACUACGUGCCAGCCGCUGC